This 464-nucleotide ribosomal RNA is filed under the name uncultured bacterium. RNAcentral's name for it is "bacterial SSU rRNA". It matches the Rfam family "Bacterial small subunit ribosomal RNA", at positions 338 to 795 of the family's 1533-position model. The record is from RNAcentral.
CCUACGGGGGGCUGCAGUAGGGAAUCUUCGGCAAUGGGGGGAACCCUGACCGAGCGAUACCGCGUGAUCGAAGAAAUACUUCGGUAUGUAAAGAUCUUUUACAAAGGAUGAAUGGUUCUGAUAGGAAAUGAUCAGAAAGUGACAGUACUUUAGGAAUAAGCCCCGGCUAACUAUGUGCCAGCAGCCGCGGUAAUACAUAGGGGGCAAGCGUUAUCCGGAAUUAUUGGGCGUAAAGGGUGCGUAGGCGGCUAUUUAAGUUCAUGGUCUAAAUUCAAGGCUCAACCUUGAAUCGCUUUGAAAACUGGAUAGCUUGAGAGAGGUAGAGGCAAGUGGAAUUCCAUGUGUAGCGGUAAAAUGCGUAAAUAUAUGGAGGAACACCAGUGGCGAAGGCGGCUUGCUGGGCCUUAUCUGACGCUGAUGCACGAAAGCGUGGGGAGCAAACAGGAUUAGAUACCCUUGUAGUC